Molecule: ribosomal RNA, 747 nt
Filed under: uncultured Providencia sp.
Lineage: Bacteria; Pseudomonadati; Pseudomonadota; Gammaproteobacteria; Enterobacterales; Morganellaceae
Description: bacterial SSU rRNA
Rfam family: Bacterial small subunit ribosomal RNA
Source: RNAcentral
UGCGAAAGCGUGGGGAGCAAACAGGAUUAGAUACCUGGUAGUCACGCUGUAAACGAUGUCGAUUUGAGGUUGUUCCCUUGAGGAGUGGCUUCCGGAGCUAACGCGUUAAAUCGACCGCUGGGGAGUACGGCCGCAAGGUUAAAACUCAAAUGAAUUGACGGGGGCCCGCACAAGCGGUGGAGCAUGUGGUUUAAUUCGAUGCAACGCGAAGAACCUUACCUACUCUUGACAUCCAGAGAAUUUAGCAGAGAUGCUUUAGUGCCUUCGGGAACUCUGAGACAGGUGCUGCAUGGCUGUCGUCAGCUCGUGUUGUGAAAUGUUGGGUUAAGUCCCGCAACGAGCGCAACCCUUAUCCUUUGUUGCCAGCACAUUAUGGUGGGAACUCAAAGGAGACUGCCGGUGAUAAACCGGAGGAAGGUGGGGAUGACGUCAAGUCAUCAUGGCCCUUACGAGUAGGGCUACACACGUGCUACAAUGGCGUAUACAAAGAGAAGCGACCUCGCGAGAGCAAGCGGAACUCAUAAAGUACGUCGUAGUCCGGAUUGGAGUCUGCAACUCGACUCCAUGAAGUCGGAAUCGCUAGUAAUCGUAGAUCAGAAUGCUACGGUGAAUACGUUCCCGGGCCUUGUACACACCGCCCGUCACACCAUGGGAGUGGGUUGCAAAAGAAGUAGGUAGCUUAACCUUCGGGAGGGCGCUUACCACUUUGUGAUUCAUGACUGGGGUGAAGUCGUAACAAGGUAACCA